UACAGAGGUCUCGAGCGUUAAUCGGAUUCAUUGGGCUUAAAGCGUACGUAGGCGGAUGUGCAGGCAUCGUGUGAAAUCCCCUGGCUCAACCAGGGAACUGCUCGGUGAACCGCACGUCUUGAGGCAAGUAGAGGCUGUCGGAACGAUAGGUGGAGCGGUGAAAUGCGUAGAUAUCUAUCGGAACGCCGAAGGUGAAAACAGGCAGCUGGGCUUGAUCUGACGCUGAGGUACGAAGGCGUGGGGAGCGAACGGG
This 253-nucleotide ribosomal RNA is filed under the name uncultured bacterium. Its description in RNAcentral is "partial 16S ribosomal RNA". It matches the Rfam family "Bacterial small subunit ribosomal RNA", at positions 524 to 776 of the family's 1533-position model. The record is from RNAcentral.